RNAcentral lists this long non-coding RNA (390 nucleotides) under Capsella rubella. RNAcentral describes it as "long non-coding RNA (CRUB_LNC003313)". Lineage: Eukaryota; Viridiplantae; Streptophyta; Magnoliopsida; Brassicales; Brassicaceae. The record is from RNAcentral.
AUGUUGUUAAUGGGGUUCUCUGCAAAGAGUUGUACAAAAUCAAUGUUCGGACAAACGGCUAUAACUUCUUAUACAACAAAUAAAUAAAUACGGUCUACGUGGUGGGUCUGUCUUAUACAUAUAUAUAUAUAUAUACGGGGGUUUAGGAGAAAAGAAACAAACAAACAAAUACAAGAGUAAAUUUAUACGUAGACAUGGAGAGAUCAAGAGGAAUAAAUGAAGGGAGGGAGAUAGGGUUAGGGUGGUGGGUGCGAGAGGAGAGGGUCAUGUGAAGUCUCAUCAUGAGUCCAACUUUGUGCAUGCGCUUCGAUUUCCUACAUUGGCAGAUAGAUACCUCCCACGUAGCCUCCCCCCUCCCCUAUGCCCUUUGCUUUGCUUUGCUUUACUCGC